AUGAACAACUUGAAGGUGGCUGAAACAAUAAUAAGCAGGGAGUACCCAAAUGGUAUGGAUGCAACACAGGUUGACCAAUUCAAGACUUCUUUUGUUUGCUUCAUACUGGGUUAUUUCUUAAUAGCUUGUAGCAAUGCAAAUCAUGGUGCCAAAGAUUUCUGGGGUUCACUACUCACACCAAAUGAAAUACCAUCAUACAACUUCUGCUCAGCAGCAAUUGAUGAAAUUAUGAAUGCAGCAAGAAAAGCUCAGAAUGAAUUGAAAACCAAAAAAUCUAUCAAAUAUGUUUCUAGCUGUCCGCUACUCUUGCAGGUAAAGUCAUUCAGGAACAGGAAACAAAAUGUUCGUAACGAAGCUGCUACUAAAUACAAUUUUGCAACUGUUACAAUGAAUAAACCUCCAUUUAUACCUUACCAAGGCACAAGCAAGCCUGCAGCAGUACAAACUACUAGUCAUGCAAAGCGCCCACUCAAUAUUUUCCUGGAUUCUUAUGUACAAGGAACAACACCAAAGAAGCUAUCCAUUCCUCAAAUAAUUGAUCUUAGAUGGCACAGUGCUAGGAUCAUAAGACAUAUGAAUGAGUUCAAAUCAAUUGCACAGCCAAUUUGUAAUAACCAAGCAUUGUCAACAUCAGCAACGGAUAAUUUAUCUGCCAAAAUAGACAAUCUUUUGGAAAUCAUUUUAAAUGAUAACCUUGAAUUAGCAAAGAGGCUUCAUGAGCAUGUCCCGGCAGUAGAAGUUCGAUCAGAAGGUCCACCAAAGUGCAUAAACAAUUUAAAGUGUUCUGGAAGUGAAUAUAGCGGAGCUGAUUCAAAUAGUGAUUGCACUUCCAAAAAAAUCGACUCAUCCAAAAGCAAAAUGUUUCAAAUUGCUGUUUCAGGAGAUAUGGAUGCAACAAGAACACCAACUAAUGCACUAGAAACACCAUGUUCUAAUACAUAUCGAGAUUUUGAGAAUGUACAAACACCAAGGAAUGAACUUUCACCAGCAACAGUUGCUAGUAGGAUGUCAGAAACAGCUGUUGCAUUCCGUUUGUUUCAGCGAGAAGAUAUCCUUAACUUAAAUGCAAGAGCACUUGAAGCAGAGUUCACGGACUCACCGAUUGAGAAAAUUAAAGUAAGCAACGGUCAAUUGGCAAGUAAUCAUGUGCUUGUCGGUACUACAAUGCUUCAAAAAUCAUCAGCCAUGCUAGCUACAUUCUCAAAUUGGGUACUACACAGCAAGCAAGAGGAAAAUGAAGUGUGCUGGAUAAUAAACUAUGAACCAAGAAGAUUGGUUCAACUAGAAAUGUUGAUUUAUGGCACAUCAAAGAAGCAAAGGUGUAGGCAUAUAAUGGAGUCCGACUUCGCUAUGAUGGUUCUAGGAAAUGAAAAUGUUAUGUCCAGCAGAUCUAUUCUUGAUCAGUUUAGGAAGAUUGCAGUAUUCUAUGAUAUAUCAGAGUGCAGAACCAUUAUAGUUCCUGCUCUAGUUAAUGUUACAUGGUGCUCGUAUUUCUUUGACAUGAUGCUAAAAUGUGUACAUGUUGCUGACCCAACGUAUGUACGAUCAAAUGAAAUUGAACUAAAGAAGAUGCAUGAUUCAAACGUCAAGAAAAUUCUAUGUGCAAUGACAAAAGUAGUGAAAGAGCUUUACUCUGGAUGGGAAGUUGAUUUCACCACAUGGGACACCAAUUACUUGAAGCCUAUAAUUCACGGUUUUUCUAAUACUGAAAUGUUCGACAACGACGACUCUGGUUUGGUGACGAUUAUAUCCAUUCGGGAUUUCCAUGGAGACACAAUUAUUGAAUCCCACACACAGGAAACAAUAAUGCCAUUCAAGCCUUUGUUGUUGUAUGAGUUGAUGUCCAUUAAAGGAAACCAUGGAACAGUUCCUACUUCCUACAUAGAAACAAUUGAUGAUUAG
This 1902-nucleotide ribosomal RNA is filed under the name Triticum aestivum (bread wheat). Its description in RNAcentral is "partial small subunit ribosomal RNA". Lineage: Eukaryota; Viridiplantae; Streptophyta; Magnoliopsida; Poales; Poaceae. The record is from RNAcentral.